This 856-nucleotide ribosomal RNA is filed under the name uncultured bacterium. RNAcentral describes it as "bacterial SSU rRNA". It matches the Rfam family "Bacterial small subunit ribosomal RNA", at positions 60 to 914 of the family's 1533-position model. The record is from RNAcentral.
AGUCGAACGGCAGCGCGGGGCAACCUGGCGGCGAGUGGCGAACGGGUGAGUAAUAUAUCGGAACGUACCCAAGAGUGGGGGAUAACGUAGCGAAAGUUACGCUAAUACCGCAUACGAUCUAAGGAUGAAAGUGGGGGAUCGCAAGACCUCAUGCUCCUGGAGCGGCCGAUAUCUGAUUAGCUAGUUGGUGAGGUAAAGGCUCACCAAGGCGACGAUCAGUAGCUGGUCUGAGAGGACGACCAGCCACACUGGAACUGAGACACGGUCCAGACUCCUACGGGAGGCAGCAGUGGGGAAUUUUGGACAAUGGGCGCAAGCCUGAUCCAGCAAUGCCGCGUGAGUGAAGAAGGCCUUCGGGUUGUAAAGCUCUUUUGUCAGGGAAGAAACGGUCGGAGCUAAUAUCUCUGACUAAUGACGGUACCUGAAGAAUAAGCACCGGCUAACUACGUGCCAGCAGCCGCGGUAAUACGUAGGGUGCAAGCGUUAAUCGGAAUUACUGGGCGUAAAGCGUGCGCAGGCGGUUUUGUAAGUCUGUCGUGAAAUCCCCGGGCUCAACCUGGGAAUUGCGAUGGAGACUGCAAGGCUAGAAUCUGGCAGAGGGGGGUAGAAUUCCACGUGUAGCAGUGAAAUGCGUAGAGAUGUGGAGGAACACCGAUGGCGAAGGCAGCCCCCUGGGUCAAGAUUGACGCUCAUGCACGAAAGCGUGGGGAGCAAACAGGAUUAGAUACCCUGGUAGUCCACGCCCUAAACGAUGUCUACUAGUUGUCGGGUCUUAAUUGACUUGGUAACGCAGCUAACGCGUGAAGUAGACCGCCUGGGGAGUACGGUCGCAAGAUUAAAACUCAAAGGAAUUGAC